GCUUGCGUCAUCCAGUGGUUAGGAUAUGCGGUUUUCAUCCGCACAACGGGAGUUCGAUUCUCCCCGUAAGUACCA
RNAcentral lists this transfer RNA (75 nucleotides) under bacterium. Its description in RNAcentral is "tRNA-Glu". It matches the Rfam family "tRNA". From Rfam's summary of the family: Transfer RNA (tRNA) molecules are approximately 80 nucleotides in length. Their secondary structure includes four short double-helical elements and three loops (D, anti-codon, and T loops). Further hydrogen bonds mediate the characteristic L-shaped molecular structure. tRNAs have two regions of fundamental functional importance: the anti-codon, which is responsible for specific mRNA codon recognition, and the 3' end, to which the tRNAs corresponding amino acid is attached (by aminoacyl-tRNA synthetases). tRNAs cope with the degeneracy of the genetic code in two manners: having more than one tRNA (with a specific anti-codon) for a particular amino acid; and 'wobble' base-pairing, i.e. permitting non-standard base-pairing at the 3rd anti-codon position. The record is from RNAcentral.